RNAcentral lists this long non-coding RNA (276 nucleotides) under Nicotiana benthamiana. Its description in RNAcentral is "long non-coding RNA (NBEN_LNC001749)". Lineage: Eukaryota; Viridiplantae; Streptophyta; Magnoliopsida; Solanales; Solanaceae. The record is from RNAcentral.
UCUUUACUACUUGAUAUAGUUCUGGGAUAUGUUGUAGAUUAUCUCCAUUUUGCGUAUAUACCCCAUGCUAUACAUGGUCUGUAUGAGUUUUGGGUAUGUUUUGUUUAAUGCUACUAAUUUGUUAUAUCCCUUCAAAGGUUUGGUUUGACAUCCAAUAAGUUUUUCUGGGUUAUAGUCUACUGAUUGUAUGUUCUUGUUUAGGUAAUUGACAACUUGUAUGAAUUGGUUCAUGAAGUUGUUAUUUUUUGCACGAAUUGAUUUUGUGUAGGUUUUUUG